Molecule: signal recognition particle RNA, 303 nt
Filed under: Cebus imitator (Panamanian white-faced capuchin)
Lineage: Eukaryota; Metazoa; Chordata; Mammalia; Primates; Cebidae
Description: Metazoan signal recognition particle RNA (ENSCCAG00000011127.1)
Rfam family: Metazoan signal recognition particle RNA
About the family: The signal recognition particle (SRP) is a universally conserved ribonucleoprotein.
Source: RNAcentral
GCCGGCCAUGGUAGCAUACACCUCUAGUCCUAGCUACUCAGGAGCCUGAGGCAGGAGGAUCACUUGAGCCCAGCAGUUCUGGGCUAUAGCGUGCUAUGUCGAUCAGGUGUUCACACUAAGUUCAGCAUCAAUAUGGUGACCUCCUGGGAGUGGGGCACCACCAAGUUGGCUAAGGAAGGGUGAACUGGCCCAGGUCAGAAAAUGAGCAGGUCAUAAGUAAUUCCCAUGCUGAUCAGUAGUGGGAUCGUGCCUGUGAAUAGCUACUGCAUUCCAGCCUGGGCAAUAUAGCAAGGCCUCAUCUCU